AAAUUGAAGAGUUUGAUCAUGGCUCAGAUUGAACGCUGGCGGCAGGCCUAACACAUGCAAGUCGAGCGGAAACGAGUUAUCUGAACCUUCGGGGAACGAUAACGGCGUCGAGCGGCGGACGGGUGAGUAAUGCCUAGGAAAUUGCCUUGAUGUGGGGGAUAACCAUUGGAAACGGUGGCUAAUACCGCAUAAUGCCUACGGGCCAAAGAGGGGGACCUUCGGGCCUCUCGCGUCAAGAUAUGCCUAGGUGGGAUUAGCUAGUUGGUGAGGUAAUGGCUCACCAAGGCGACGAUCCCUAGCUGGUCUGAGAGGAUGAUCAGCCACACUGGAACUGAGACACGGUCCAGACUCCUACGGGAGGCAGCAGUGGGGAAUAUUGCACAAUGGGCGAAAGCCUGAUGCAGCCAUGCCGCGUGUAUGAAGAAGGCCUUCGGGUUGUAAAGUACUUUCAGUUGUGAGGAAGGGGGUGUCGUUAAUAGCGGCAUCUCUUGACGUUAACAACAGAAGAAGCACCGGCUAACUCCGUGCCAGCAGCCGCGGUAAUACGGAGGGUGCGAGCGUUAAUCGGAAUUACUGGGCGUAAAGCGCAUGCAGGUGGUUCAUUAAGUCAGAUGUGAAAGCCCGGGGCUCAACCUCGGAACUGCAUUUGAAACUGGUGAACUAGAGUACUGUAGAGGGGGGUAGAAUUUCAGGUGUAGCGGUGAAAUGCGUAGAGAUCUGAAGGAAUACCAGUGGCGAAGGCGGCCCCCUGGACAGAUACUGACACUCAGAUGCGAAAGCGUGG
RNAcentral lists this ribosomal RNA (784 nucleotides) under Vibrio sp. HI00D65. RNAcentral's name for it is "bacterial SSU rRNA". It matches the Rfam family "Bacterial small subunit ribosomal RNA", at positions 1 to 764 of the family's 1533-position model. Lineage: Bacteria; Pseudomonadati; Pseudomonadota; Gammaproteobacteria; Vibrionales; Vibrionaceae. The record is from RNAcentral.